UACAGAGGGGGCAAGCGUUGUUCGGAAUUACUGGGCGUAAAGGGCGCGUAGGCGGCCUGCUAAGUCGGACGUGAAAUCCCUGGGCUCAACCCAGGAACUGCGUCCGAUACUGGUUGGCUUGAAUCCGGGAGAGGGAUGUGGAAUUCCAGGUGUAGCGGUGAAAUGCGUAGAUAUCCGGAGGAACACCGGUGGCGAAGGCGGCUUCCUGGACCGACACUGACGCUGAGGCGCGAAAGCUAGGGGAGCAAACGGG
This 253-nucleotide ribosomal RNA is filed under the name uncultured bacterium. RNAcentral's name for it is "partial 16S ribosomal RNA". It matches the Rfam family "Bacterial small subunit ribosomal RNA", at positions 524 to 776 of the family's 1533-position model. The record is from RNAcentral.